RNAcentral lists this ribosomal RNA (400 nucleotides) under phytoplankton environmental sample. RNAcentral describes it as "partial small subunit ribosomal RNA". It matches the Rfam family "Eukaryotic small subunit ribosomal RNA", at positions 587 to 980 of the family's 1831-position model. The record is from RNAcentral.
AGCUCCAAUAGCGUAUAUUAAAGUUGUUGCAGUUAAAAAGCUCGUAGUUGGAUUUGAGGAUCGGCGCAUAGUUGACAACUGAAAGGUUGACGACAGGCAAAGAUCUUGAGACGACUGACGUGAUAGUGAUGCACUUGAUUGUGUAGACAUUGUCGUUAAGCGUCAGUCUGUUUACUUUGAAGAAAAUAGAGUGUUCAAAGCAGGCGACACGCCUUGAAUACUGUAGCAUGGAAUAAUGGAAUAGGACUUCCGUCCUAUUUUGUUGGCUUGUAGGGCCGGAAGUAAUGAUUAAUAGGGAUAGUUGGGGGCAUUCGUAUUCAAUUGUCAGAGGUGAAAUUCUUGGAUUUAUUGAAGACGAACUAAUGCGAAAGCAUUUGCCAAGGAUGUUUUCAUUAAUCAA